Molecule: long non-coding RNA, 501 nt
Organism: Humulus lupulus (European hop)
Lineage: Eukaryota; Viridiplantae; Streptophyta; Magnoliopsida; Rosales; Cannabaceae
Exons: 2
Source: RefSeq, a predicted model, not a curated record
UAUAAGAAACGCAGAGGGAAAUCACAAUUAAUAGGGAAUGAAAUUCUCUUGGAUCCAUCGUUUUAUGUCACUCUUUGUCCUCCUUAUAUCUAUAUCAUCCAAUAUCUCUGCGGCACAAAACUCUUUCGUCCGUACAGAAGAUCGUGUACUGAUUACCCGGAAAUUGGUAGUAUUACCAAGCCCUCCUCCACCACCAAAACAAGCAACGCCUCCAGGUGCUGGACGCAUAUAAACUUAUAUGUUAUGGGUUGUUGAUAUGGAACCAUUUGAAUUUUGAAUUAAAAAAACACAGUCAACGUUGUUGCAGAUAUAUAACAUGCAGUAGUGUUAGUGGGAAAUAAUUGUAUAAAUUUGUGUUUUCAGUUCGCAAAGACUUAAAACUAAAACCAGUAUCUUAUGCUUUUAUACCACAAAGAUAAUGUAUUGGUUGAUAGUGAUACAAACAUAUAACUAAGUACCCAAGACAUUAUUUCUUAAUUCAUAUACUUCUCAUCUUAUUUA